UGUGAUGGCAUAACUUAUGCCUGCAUACGGCUCAUUAAAACAAAAAUAACUUAUCCUCGUAUAUAUACGGAUAACAUUGCUAAUUGUGAUGCUAAUACGUGAUAAAACAUACUAAGUAUAAUCCUUAUACCUAUUCUUUAAGGAAUAUUAUAAGGCAUUUAGACUAUUCUAAAGAGGAAAGGUUUUUGAUCUAUCAGCUACAGACGGUUAUGUAUUGGAUAACCGUGGCAUUAACGGAUAACGGGGAAUGAGGGUUUGAUUCCGGAGAGAGCGCAUGAGAGUUUGCGCUUACAGCUAAGGUUGGCAGCAGGAGCGAAAACUUUUCUAAUGAGCAGAGCUUGAAAAGGUGACAAACUGUAUUAACAUCAGCUUAUAGUUGGUGAUUAGAAUGAAAAUUUUUUAAGGUAAAUUUUAAGUAGCAAGUUCAGGGCAAGUCUGGUGCCAGCAGCCGCGGUAAUACCAGCUGAGCUAAGGAUGGGUAAUGCUGUUGCAGUAAAAACAUUCGUAGUCACUUUAUUUGAACUAUCUUAGUUUAACUAUUGGUUUUGUUCAAUAAAAUUAUUUUCGCGAUUAAAUUAAAUUGAUUAAAUUGAAUGGUGUAUGAUAAAGCGCGAUAAAUCUGAUGAUACCUUAUUGCAAUUUUUAAUUGAUUUGUUUUAAGGAAUAAAUAGUAAAAAUAAGAGAGGGCAGUGGUACUUACCAGCUAGAGGUGAAAUUCUUAGAUUUGGUAAUGACUCACAACUGCAAAAGCAUCUGUCCAGCUUAUUUUUGGUGAUCAAGAAUUAAAGUGUGGGGAUCGAAGAGGAUUAGAUACCCUCGUAGUCCACACCCUAAGCUAUGUCAACUAGUGAUUGGUAGAAAAAAUUUUUCCGUCGGAACCUUAGCAGAUAUGAAAGUUUUUGGACUCUGGGGGAAGUAUGGUCGCAAGGCUGAAACUUAAAGGAAUUGACGGAACGGCACCACAAGGGGUGGAGCGUGCGGCUUAAUUUGACUCAACGCGGGAAACCUUACUAGGGUAAGACAUUAAUAUGAUUGACAAAUUACUUGGUUUUUCUUGAUUUAAUGGGUGGUGGUGCAUGGCCGAUCUUAGUUGGUGGGGUGACUUGUCUGGUUAAUUCCGAUAACGAACGAGAUCCGAGCAGUUUUGUUGCUAAUUUCUACUUUAAGUAGUUGAUAGUUCCUAAAUGGACCAUCAGAAUAAUCUGAAGGAAGUGACGGGCUAAAUCAGGUCUGUGAUGCCCUUCGAUACUCUGGGCGGCACGCGCGCUACAUUGGAUAAAAAAAAGUGAUAUAACACUGAUAAGUGAUAUGAAUCAUAUAAUUUGUGUCGUAAAUGGGAUAGUUUAUUGCAACUGACAAACUUGAACUAGGAAUCCCUUGUAGAUAUAUUGCAUUAUAAUAUAUCGAAUACGUCCCUGCCGUUUGUACACACCGCCCGUCGUUUCUUCCGACUGGUACUCAUUGUGAAUUGCGAGGAUGUUUCAAAAUCGCUGUUAAUGCUGGGUACUGGAGGAAGAAAAAGUCGUAACAAGGUUAUC
RNAcentral lists this ribosomal RNA (1538 nucleotides) under uncultured eukaryote. Its description in RNAcentral is "SSU rRNA". It matches the Rfam family "Eukaryotic small subunit ribosomal RNA". The record is from RNAcentral.